RNAcentral lists this ribosomal RNA (253 nucleotides) under uncultured bacterium. Its description in RNAcentral is "partial 16S ribosomal RNA". It matches the Rfam family "Bacterial small subunit ribosomal RNA", at positions 524 to 776 of the family's 1533-position model. The record is from RNAcentral.
UACGGGGGGGGCAAGCGUUGUUCGGAAUUACUGGGCGUAAAGGGCUCGUAGGCGGCCAACUAAGUCGGAUGUGAAAUCCCCAGGCUCAACUUGGGAACUGCAUCCGAUACUGGAUGGCUUGAAUUCGGGAGAGGGAUGCAGAAUUCCAGGUGUAGCGGUGAAAUGCGUAGAUAUCUGGAGGAAUACCGGUGGCGAAGGCGGCAGCCUGGACCGACAUUGACGCUGAGGAGCGAAAGCUAGGGGAGCAAGCGGG